This is an RNA transcript of Chiloscyllium plagiosum (whitespotted bambooshark), 4710 nucleotides long. It is a transcript of the gene named ST8 alpha-N-acetyl-neuraminide alpha-2,8-sialyltransferase 4, with no coding region annotated. The record is from RefSeq and is a predicted model, not a curated record. NCBI's taxonomy places the organism in Eukaryota, Metazoa, Chordata, Chondrichthyes, Orectolobiformes, Hemiscylliidae.
GGCGGUUUUAGGCUUCAAAACAGGAAAUGGCCAGUAUUUGGCAAUCAGUUUCGGAACAAGUAUGUGCAGUAAUUAAUUGUUUGAGUCAAAUGAGUACACGUAAGAGCUGUGCACAGAUAUCGAUUAGACUGUCUGGUUUAUGUACUCAGAAUUAACUUGCUGCAGGUCUGUCUUCACUGUAAAGUCCUACUCAGCUCAUUAACGCUGUACCAAAUGCAAAAAGUGUGGACGCACUCAGAUCAGGUUAAAGGACGGUUCUGAGAUGUACAGCACGCAGGAAACGUUUGUUCGUUUCAACUUAUUUCAACCCACUUCGUUUUCGAAAAUAAACCCUCAGUCCUGUAAAUACUUCAACACUGAAAGUGCCCUUUUCGCUUCUCUUUUUCCAUUCGCCAGACGCCCGCUGUCUUUUUAAAGACACUUGGCACAACGCCUGCCUCCUGUCAAUCAGGUAUCCCUCAGGGAACAGCAAUCUCGCUUUCCUAUUGGUGAAACCCGGGCGAUUAGGCGAGGAGCCGAGCGGUGUCCGCGCUGUUAUUGGCGUCAGGAGAUGUCAGUCAGGGAGGGCUGUGUUUCGUUCUUCCUCACUGAGUGGAUUCACUGAGCGAGAGAAAGAGGAGGAGCAGGGGCGUGUGGUGAACUGUCUGUCUUCAGUCUCUCAGACAGAAACCUUUGCGCCUUACUUAUUUCCCAGACUGGGAGGGAAAGCGGACUCUUUUAUUUCUAUAUAUCACCAGAUACACAUAUUAGAAAAAAUGCGUCUCCAUCGAAAAUGUUGGACAUUAUGUACCAUAAGUAUCAUAGUCAUUUGUUUUAAAACAAAGGAUAUAACAAGAUCGGAGCACCAGCAAACGCAAAUGGGAGAUGGAGAGGCGAUUCCAACCAGACUGAUGAUUAACACCUCCAAUAAAGCAAACAGGAAGAAUGUGCUUCCACGUUUCGAACACUCUGUGGAAGGUUGGAAAAACAAUGCGUCCUUAGUAAUCAAGAUCAGGAAGGAUAUCCUUCGCUUUUUAGAUGCUGAGAGAGAUAUAUCAGUGGUGAAAAGCAGUUUGAAACCAGGAGAUAUAAUUCAUUAUGUGCUGGACAGGCGUCGAACCCUCAACAUCUCUCACAAUUUGCACAGGCUUCUCCCUGAAGUGUCCCCGAUGAAGAACAAGCGAUUCAGUACUUGUGCAGUUGUUGGAAAUUCUGGGAUUCUUCUGGGUAGUGGAUGUGGGAAGGAGAUUGACAGUCAUGAAUUUAUAAUAAGGUGUAAUCUUGCACCCCUUGUGGAAUACGCUAAUGAUGUUGGACUCAAAUCUGAUUUUGUCACUAUGAAUCCGUCAGUCGUGCAAAGAGCUUUUGGAAGUCUUCGGAAUGAGACAGACCGAGAGAAAUUUGUCAACAGACUGACAGUGUUGAAUGACAGUGUUCUGUGGAUCCCUGCGUUCAUGGUCAAAGGUGGGGAAAAAUACGUUGAAUAUGUAAAUGAGCUGAUUCUGAAGAACAGACUGAAUAUUCAGACAGCUUACCCAUCCCUGCGGCUCAUACAUGCUGUCCGAGGAUACUGGCUGACAAACAAGAUUUACAUCAAGCGACCAAGCACUGGCUUAUUGAUGUACACACUUGCAACUCGAUUCUGUGAUGAAAUUCACCUGUAUGGAUACUGGCCCUUCCCAAAAGAUUCAAAAGGAACACCAGUUAAAUACCACUACUAUGACAACCUAAAGUAUAGAUAUUUUUCUAAUGCUGGGCCACAUCGGAUGCCACUGGAAUUCAAAACAUUAAAAUCUUUACAUGACAAAGGAGCUCUGAAGCUAACAACUGGGAAAUGUGUGUAACCUAGAAGCCACAGCUAAACCCAGAGUUAGUGCAAUAUUUGCACACUAUAGAUUUUAUGUGAAAAGAUAACGCCUCAGUAAUAAUUACAACAAUGCUGUAAAGUGCCCAUUCACCCAGCUGCGUUUACAGCCUCAGAUUGUUGUGAAGAAAUAAUAAAUAUAAUCGCACUGUGAGGAGUAAAGAUCAAGCAGUGAUGUGUUAACAAUGAUUGAAUAUUGAUUGACAGAAUGGUUCAGGCCUGUGAUCACUGUCAUCAGAAGUAGGGCUCUGCAUUUGUUGUAGCCUCAGAAGACCUGAGAAAUAAUCAGGCUUAGUGUUAACGAGAGGUCAGUAUUUGUCUUGAGCAGCUGUCUCAGCAAGCAAUCAAUGCCAAAGUGCUUUCAAGGUGUUAUACAUCUGAGUCACAGUCUCAAUCCACAACAUUCUUAUCUACUUAUGUGAAUCAGCCAAGGGUAAUAUCCGUUAUAAGAGUUAUGAGAGGACUGAAGGCCUGUUAGCACUCCAGUUCGGUAUCGUUGGUAGUUUUAUAGCUCAAUGAAUGUAAAGCAGUUGUCUUAUGUAAUGUGCUGAAUGUGAACUGUAAAAAGUUAAAGGUGCCCUUUCUGCUGGUACCAAAGAUCCUGUAAGAAGUUACUUGUAAAGACUAACAUUUUGGGAAUUACUAGGGUAAAGUGUCUUGUGCAAUUACUACAUGGUUUUAGGAGGAGGAAACAGGAGAUAAAGAAGUGGUCAGAAUAAAAAGCACAAGUCUUAUUUAGACAGAAGCACAGAUUACCAGAUCCUUAAAGCAUGAGGAAUUGUUUGAUUUCAAUCAAAUUAUUACAUUUCAAAAGUUCACUCAUGAACCAAUUCCUCUGCCAAGCCUUCUGAUUCAUGCUGUGAGUAGUGGAAAAACCCUACUGAUGAUGCAUUUUCUUAUUAACCACAGAACUGCCAUCAGCACCAUUUCUCCUUUCUGUAAAUAUGAUGUAAUGUAUUUGGAUCAAAUUGUAUAUUCUGUGGUAGCAUUGUAAAGAUUCUGCUUGUUUUUUUAAGUUAUUUGUUUAUGCAAUUCUUUAAAACUCAUCUCGGAGGAUUGCAGGUCUCCAGUGCCUGAUCCCAGUUGCUGGUGUUGAGGUGUGUCUCUUGCUACACUAAAUAGACAUGUGGUUGUAGUGAAGAUCUGACAACAACACUGGGAACUGGCAAAAGUAAUUCAGGACUUUCUCAGACUUGGAACCUUGCUAUGUUUAAAAUUAUUUCUACAGAUUGUUUGCUGCAAAUAUUGGAAUAGAACCACAGUCUUCGAGUGACUUGGAAAUUACUUGAGCUACACUGCUGUUACAAUUUUAAAAAUUUACAUACACUGGAAACUCCUUAAGGCAGUUAUGCACAGGUUUUCUGGGUCUACUCAUUUGCAUUUCCAUCGAUAUAAGUAUUGGUGUGAGAAUAGCGUAAAACUGUUACAAGCAAGUGAAUGGCCUGCAAACCUACGCACAGCCUUUUAAAACAAUUUUUAACAGACUGGUUGACAAAAAGAAAAGUAAGGAGCAGUGCUCACUAACUCUCAAAUAAUUUCUGUCUUAGCAAUUUUUUAAUUUGUAACUGAUGAGUAUCCAGAAAGCAGAAGGAUAUGGAACCAAACCAGAGACAAGGAAUUUACACUUUUAGUCAGACGUUUCAGCCAUUCUUCAUGGUUAUUGAAGGAACUCCUCAUUUCCAUCUUAAUCAGCUGGACCAGAGGAUUAUUCGGAGAAAUCAGAAAUGAGUCAAAAGGAAAAAUAGCUGUAAACUGUUAUAAAAGUGAGUAAAUUAGUGGUUUUGUAGAAAACUGAUUAUUGCAGUUAUUCACACAUCAGGAUUUACCUUACUGGGAAAUAUAAAGAAAAAUAUUUUACUUAAUCCAGCUAAAAGGAAAAGCAAGGCUUGUCCACAGAUGUCUGCUGCCUUCCUCAAGAAAACUGAAUUGCUUUGAAAUCAUCUUGAGCUGUAAACAAACAAAAUGUAUGUGUCAUGACACCCAACUGUGAAAAAUCCUUUAUUCUUGCAGGUUAAUGUCCUGUUUUAUAUAUAUGUUUUAUUUAUGAGUCCUGGAAGCUUUAUUACAUUUUGUUACAAUUCUGUGUGAAAGCAAAUAAAGGUUUUAAUAAGGUUUACUUUCAAACACUUCAAAUAUUCAGCUCUUUUUCAUUCUAAUUUCCUGUCUUCCUUUUCGCAUCGUUGGAAUUGAUUUUCACUAGUUAUGGAUGGAAAAUGAAUGCUUAUGGAUUGUUCUGAUGGUUUAGCCUUUCUUCAUGGGCAACUAAUGUACAACCCCCAUACAUGAGAAAAGUGAUUGUUACAUCUAUUCACUUGUCAUUAGAAAACUGUUUCAUGUUCAGAAUGCUAGUUGUUUGUCUAGUGUGUCUUCCAAAUGGUUUUUAAUUUGUGUUUGAUACAUGGCAUUGACAGGAUCCUCCACCACAAGGCUAUCAGACACAAACCUAGGUAUGCCCUCAUCUAAAGUCCAUACACAUGUUGAAAGGAAAGGCAAAAUCGCUUUAGUCCCACUCUCAUGAGAGAGAGAGAGAGAGACAGCUGCUGGUGGUUUAAUGUGAGGGUUAUCAUGCCUCAGGCAAGGGAUGAGGUUUAGAAGGUGGGAUCUUCAUAGCUGUUCCAGGAAUUGAACCUGUGCUGUUAGUGCCUCUCUGCGUUACAGACUGACUGCCUUUGUUGACACAUUCAUACGUGCUAUGUGGCAAUUUAAAUCACAUUCAUAAUAGUUAUAUUUCAUUCCAUUUUACUAUCUAUUUAAUUUUUAAUGUAUAUUCUUCCCCAAUACUGAUUAUACAAGUUGAUUUUUAAAAAAAUCUGUUUGAGCUAUAAUAUUAAACUUGCUGCAUGAAAAUUCAAUGCUAGUCUUGAUUA